This 749-nucleotide ribosomal RNA is filed under the name uncultured Bacteroidales bacterium. Its description in RNAcentral is "bacterial SSU rRNA". It matches the Rfam family "Bacterial small subunit ribosomal RNA", at positions 37 to 776 of the family's 1533-position model. The record is from RNAcentral. Lineage: Bacteria; Pseudomonadati; Bacteroidota; Bacteroidia; Bacteroidales.
UAGCUACAGGCUUAACACAUGCAAGUCGAGGGGCAGCAUGAUUGAAGCUUGCUUCAAUUGAUGGCGACCGGCGCACGGGUGAGUAACACGUAUCCAACCUGCCGAUAACUCGGGGAUAGCCUUUCGAAAGAAAGAUUAAUACCCGAUAGUAUAGUAUUUCCGCAUGGUUUCACUAUUAAAGAAUUUCGGUUAUCGAUGGGGAUGCGUUCCAUUAGAUAGUUGGCGGGGUAACGGCCCACCAAGUCAACGAUGGAUAGGGGUUCUGAGAGGAAGGUCCCCCACAUUGGAACUGAGACACGGUCCAAACUCCUACGGGAGGCAGCAGUGAGGAAUAUUGGUCAAUGGACGAGAGUCUGAACCAGCCAAGUAGCGUGAAGGAUGACUGCCCUAUGGGUUGUAAACUUCUUUCAUACGGGAAUAAAGUGGAGUAUGCAUACUCCUUUGUAUGUACCGUAUGAAUAAGGAUCGGCUAACUCCGUGCCAGCAGCCGCGGUAAUACGGAGGAUCCGAGCGUUAUCCGGAUUUAUUGGGUUUAAAGGGAGCGUAGGCGGGUGCUUAAGUCAGUUGUGAAAGUUUGCGGCUCAACCGUAAAAUUGCAGUUGAUACUGGGCGCCUUGAGUGCAGCAUAGGUAGGCGGAAUUCGUGGUGUAGCGGUGAAAUGCUUAGAUAUCACGAAGAACUCCGAUUGCGAAGGCAGCUUACUGGACUGUAACUGACGCUGAUGCUCGAAAGUGUGGGUAUCAAACAGG